UCCUAGCUUAGUGGUCAGAGCAUUGGCGUGUAACGUCGAAGGUCCCGGGUUCGAUUCCCGGUGGGAA
Agrilus planipennis (emerald ash borer) is the source of this 67-nucleotide non-coding RNA. The record is from Rfam. NCBI's taxonomy places the organism in Eukaryota, Metazoa, Arthropoda, Insecta, Coleoptera, Buprestidae.